AUGGAUUUAGCUUGUAGAACGGUGGAUCUGCUCCCGCUCUCACCAUUCAUCACGCACGGUAAGAGCAGAAGCCCUCGUUGGUCCCCUAUGGUUCCUGAUCUGGAGGUAGGUGAUCCGCCGCCCCCCAAAAAGCGCCACGAUGAUGAAGCAAUCCAGAGGAUCUCCACAUCCGUCCACACGCAGAUACUUUCCAAGGCCUCUCUUUUCAUUCCUCGUGGUGAAUUAGCUUCAGAUGAAGGUCUGGGUUCCGCCGGUGUAUAUGUUGUGGUCAUCAGUAGUACAAGUACGGGCAAGUUCAGCUCUUGCCCUUGCCAAGGCGAUACAGUGGAUCUCAGGACUGAUUGGCUUAGAGAAACUAUGGAAUCUGGUCUUGAUGUCGAUAGGAACUUGGCUGAAUCCUUUUCUUGGGCAGCGGCGCAUGGCCCUAACGCGCCUCGGGUGCUAUGA
This 447-nucleotide ribosomal RNA is filed under the name Triticum aestivum (bread wheat). RNAcentral's name for it is "partial small subunit ribosomal RNA". Lineage: Eukaryota; Viridiplantae; Streptophyta; Magnoliopsida; Poales; Poaceae. The record is from RNAcentral.